CUUAAUAGUUUUUCUCCACUCAGGAAACCUCAAAGUGCAAAUGAACAAAUGUGGAAAUUACCUUUGUUGGAAGGUUGUUCGGCAAAAUAAUUGAAUGGCUUUUCAGCUUUUCCUGGUAUGGUUUUUCUGAAGCCGCUUUGUUGAGAUUUUUUUUGCCUAAUUUCCCACAUGGUGGAAUGAAACUUGUCUUCACCAGCAUGGAUAUGUAAACUUUUUCAAGAUGGUUAAGAACUGUGGCGAAGAACCAAGUGGAAAGACAAGAGGAAGCAGCCACUUGUACUGACAUCUGAUUUGUGUAUUAGAAAGUAUGGUUUCCUGACAGAAGAGUGCAUUAUAGUUUUUAACAGCAAAUCUUUAUUAAAUGUGCCAUCAAUGGUGGUUUUGGAAAGAUGAGAAAGGAUCCACUGUGGGGCAACUCAGUGAAGCUAAAGAUGUCUGCAACUUCUAUUCAGUCUAUCCCAGUUAGGAGAGCUUUUUUUGUGAUUUUUAAGCUUGGUGCUGUCAGCCCCGUGUGAACAAACCAGAACA
Molecule: long non-coding RNA, 528 nt
Organism: Serinus canaria (Common canary)
Lineage: Eukaryota; Metazoa; Chordata; Aves; Passeriformes; Fringillidae
Source: Ensembl